AUUGAACGCUGGCGGCAUGCUUUACACAUGCAAGUCGAACGGCAGCGCGGGGCAACCUGGCGGCGAGUGGCGAACGGGUGAGUAAUAUAUCGGAACGUACCCAGAAGUGGGGGAUAACGUAGCGAAAGUUACGCUAAUACCGCAUACGAUCUACGGAUGAAAGUAGGGGACCGCAAGGCCUUAUGCUUUUGGAGCGGCCGAUAUCUGAUUAGCUAGUUGGUGAGGUAAAGGCUCACCAAGGCGACGAUCAGUAGCUGGUCUGAGAGGACGACCGGCCACACUGGAACUGAGACACGGUCCAGACUCCUACGGGAGGCAGCAGUGGGGAAUUUUGGACAAUGGGCGCAAGCCUGAUCCAGCAAUGCCGCGUGAGUGAAGAAGGCCUUCGGGUUGUAAAGCUCUUUUGUCAGGGAAGAAACGGUAGAGGCUAAUAUCCUUUGCUAAUGACGGUACCUGAAGAAUAAGCACCGGCUAACUACGUG
This 482-nucleotide ribosomal RNA is filed under the name uncultured bacterium. Its description in RNAcentral is "partial 16S ribosomal RNA". It matches the Rfam family "Bacterial small subunit ribosomal RNA", at positions 30 to 507 of the family's 1533-position model. The record is from RNAcentral.